RNAcentral lists this ribosomal RNA (254 nucleotides) under uncultured bacterium. Its description in RNAcentral is "partial 16S ribosomal RNA". It matches the Rfam family "Bacterial small subunit ribosomal RNA", at positions 524 to 776 of the family's 1533-position model. The record is from RNAcentral.
GACGAAGGUGGCGAGCGUUGUUCGGAAUCACUGGGCAUAAAGCGCACGUAGGCGGCGACGUAAGUUGGGUGUGAAAUCCCUCGGCCCAACCCGAGGAACUGCGCCCAGUACUGCGUUGCUUGAGGAUCCAAGGGGUGCAUGGAAUUCCCGGUGGAGCGGUGAAAUGCGUUGAUAUCGGGAGGAACUCCGGCGGCGAAAGCGGUGCACUGGUGGAUUUCUGACGCUGAGGUGCGAAAGCCAGGGGAGCAAACGGG